AAUUAAUAAUUUACUUUUUUUAAUAUAUUUUUAUGAGAAGUAUCUUUUUAUUUAGUAGUUAAAGAAUAAUAUUUUAAUGUGAUAGUUAAUUAGUACUGUGAAGGAAUUGUUGAAAUAAUAUAAAUAUAAUUAUUUAAAAGUAUAAUUAAUUUUUUGUACCUUUUGUAUCAGGGUUAAUUAAAGUUAUUAAUUUAUGUAUUNNNNUCUCGAUUUCAGAAGAGCUAAGUUAUUAUUUUAGUUAGUGUUUUAUAAUUAUUUAUAAUAUAACUUAGAGGAGAGAUUUUAUUCGGUUUUGAAGGUAUCUAGUUUUUUAAGAAUUAAAUUUAAUUUAGUAUUAAUAUUUAAGUUUUUUAUUUAAAUAGAAUUUAUUUAUUGAUAAUAAAAUUGUAGGGGAUAAGCUCUACAUUAAUUUAUAAGACUUCUUUUUAAUAAUUUAUUGUAGGUUUAGAAUUAUCCAUCUUUAAUAAGUUUGUUACAAAUUAUAUUUAUUUAUUUAUUAAUUUGGUUUACUUUAAUUUAAUAUUAAAAUUUUCGGAUUAAUUUUUUGUCCUUAUUAAUAAUGAUUAAAUUAGUAUAAUAAAAUGGUUAAUUUAUUUAUUCUUCUAUAAUAAAGUCAAGGAACUCGGCRAAGAAAGUCAUCGCCUGUUUAGCAGCAUCAUGUCCUUUAUGAGUUUAAUUGAAGGUCUGACCUGCCCGGUGAUAGAGUUUAACGGCCGCGGUAUAUUGACCGUGCAAAGGUAGCAUAAUCAUUAGUCUUUUAAUAGAGGGCUGGAAUGAAAGGUUUAACGAGGAACUAACUGUCUCACUUUAUUUGUAUUAAAAUUUAAUUUUUUGGUUAAAAAGCUAAAAUAAUAUUGGAAGACGAGAAGACCCUAUAGAUCUUUAUAUAGUUCUACAUAAUUUUAUUUAUAUUAUAAUAUUUAUUUAAUGCUAUAUUUCGUUGGGGUGACGAAAAUAUAUAAUUAACUUUUUCAUUUAUAGAACAUUGAUUUAUGAUUAUUAGAUCCAUUAUUAUUGAUUGUUAGAUUAAGUUACCUUAGGGAUAACAGCGUAAUUUUCCUCCAGAGCUCAUAUUUACGGGAAAGUUUGCGACCUCGAUGUUGGAUUAAGAUUAUAGAUAGGUGUAGUCGCUUAUUUUAUAGGUCUGUUCGACCUUUAAAUUCUUACAU
RNAcentral lists this ribosomal RNA (1169 nucleotides) under Diastatops pullata. RNAcentral's name for it is "partial 16S ribosomal RNA". The record is from RNAcentral. Lineage: Eukaryota; Metazoa; Arthropoda; Insecta; Odonata; Libellulidae.